ACCGUCAUGGGGGAAGCGGAUUGCGUUGAGUAAAAGGGAUGUUGUGUGUUCAGCCUUUGAGGUGCAUUGGCGCAACAACCCGAUCUGUCGUGGGUUCUGCGCGGUUGAUUUUGAACCGUGCAGGGCUGAGGGCUCCCUUUUAUAGGUGAGGACGAUUAGAUAGUGACGCGAUACGACCCGUCUUGAAACACGGACCAAGGAGUCUAGCGCUACUGCGAGUCAAAGGGUGCAAGCCUGAGGGCGCAGUGAAAGCGAGUUUGAAAACGAGCAGUUUGGGGCGGCAUGAGAUUGUUAAUUUCAAGUCCGACCUUGAGCAGUUGCGCUGGGACCCGAAAGAUGGUGAACUAUGCCGGAGUAGGGCAAAGCCAGAGGAAACUCUGGUGGAGGCUCGUAGCGGUGCUGACGUGCAAAUCGCUCGUCUGACUUGGGUAUAGGGGCGAAAGACUAAUCGAACCAUCUAGUAGCUGGUUCCCUCCGAAGUUUCUCUCAGGAUAGCGGGCCGACGGGUGUUGUUUUGUGUGGUAAAGCGAAUGAUUAGCGCACUCGGGGGCAAUAUGCCUUUGGGCGAUUCUCAAACUUUCAAUACGCAAGGGUGCCGCUGCUUGGUUGAGCGGCACCGGCAAAAACGUCGGCCCUGUGGGCCACUUUUGGUAAGCAGAACUGGCGAUACGGGAUGAACCGUAAGUGUGGUUAA
This 694-nucleotide ribosomal RNA is filed under the name Delesseria sp. LLG-2014. RNAcentral's name for it is "eukaryotic LSU rRNA". It matches the Rfam family "Eukaryotic large subunit ribosomal RNA", at positions 404 to 1183 of the family's 3401-position model. The record is from RNAcentral. Lineage: Eukaryota; Rhodophyta; Florideophyceae; Ceramiales; Delesseriaceae.